Molecule: non-coding RNA, 114 nt
Organism: Acanthosepion pharaonis
Lineage: Eukaryota; Metazoa; Mollusca; Cephalopoda; Sepiida; Sepiidae
Source: the annotation of a GenBank genome assembly
UUACGGCCAUAUCACGUGGAAACACCGGUUCUCGUACGAUCACCGAAGUUAAACAACGUCGAGCCUGGUCAGUACCUAGAUGGGUGACCGUUUGUGAAUACCAGUUGAUGUAAG